This 1470-nucleotide ribosomal RNA is filed under the name Triticum aestivum (bread wheat). Its description in RNAcentral is "partial small subunit ribosomal RNA". The record is from RNAcentral. Lineage: Eukaryota; Viridiplantae; Streptophyta; Magnoliopsida; Poales; Poaceae.
AUGGCGUGUCCACCGCACGCGAUCGUCAUCCCCUACCCAGCGCAGGGGCACGUCAUCCCGCUCAUGGAGGUCGCGCACGCGCUGGCCGACAGGGGCUUCAACGUCACCUUCGUCAACACCGAGUUCAACCACGCCCGUGUCGUCGCCUCCAUGUCCAACGGCGCCGGCAGCGGGCUGGGCCGGAUCCGGCUCGUGGAGGUGCCGGACGGCAUGGCCCCCAGGGAGGACCGGAACCAGCUGGUGAGGCUUACCAUACUCAUGGCAGAGUUCAUGGCGCCGCGGGUGGAGGAGCUCAUUCUCCGGAGCGGCGAGGACGGCGCGUGCCCGGGCAAGAUCACGUGCAUGGUGACGGACUACAACGUCGGGUAUUGGGCGGUUGACAUUGCGCGGAGGACCGGGAUCCGGGUGGGGGCCGUUUGGCCGGCGUCGGCUGCCGUCAUGGUCACCUUGCUCAGCUUUCCCAAGCUGAUCGAGGACAACAUCAUCGAUGCGGAAGAUGGGUCUACAGUGGGCGAGGGAACAUUCCAGCUGAGCCCCGACAUGCCUCUCAUGCACAGCGCCCACCUCGCAUGGAACUGCAUCGGCGACCACGACCAGCAGGCCACCCUCUACCGGCUCCUUUGUGACGGCGUCCGCGCAAUGGAGCAGUGCGACUUCGUCAUCUGCAACUCCUUCCAGGACGCGGAGCCGGCGUCUUUCAAACUCUUCCCCAACGUCCUCCCCGUUGGCCCGCUCCUCACCGGCGAGCGCAGCGGCAAGGCCGUGGGCCACUUCUGGCAGCCGGAGGACGACGAGUGCAUGUCCUGGCUCGACACGCAGCCAGAGAGAUCCGUAGUGUACGUCGCCUUCGGCAGCUUCACCAUGUUCCACCGGCGCCAAUUCGAGGAGCUCGCGCUGGGCCUAGAGCUCUCCGGCAGGCCAUUCCUGUGGGUCGUGCGCCCGGACAUCGGCCACGGAGCGGUGCACGACUACCCGGAAGGCUACCUGGACCGGGUGUGCGGCCCCGGUGGCCAGGGCAAGCUCGUCUCCUGGUCACCGCAGCAGCGCGUGCUGGCGCACCCGGCGGUGGCGUGCUUCGUGUCGCACUGCGGGUGGAACUCCACCAUGGAGGGCGUCCGGAACGGCGUGCCUUUCCUCGCCUGGCCCUACUUCGCCGACCAGUUCGUGAACCAGGUGUACAUCUCCGACGUGUGGAAGGUCGGCCUCAAGGCCGUCGCCGACGAGUCGGGGGUCAUAACCAAGGAGCACAUCGCUGGCAGGGUGGAGGAGCUGAUGGGGGACGCCGGCAUGAGGGAGAGGGUGGAGGCCAUGAAGAAGGGCGCACACGAGAGCAUUCAGGAAGGCGGCUCCUCGCAUGGAAACUUCGAUGCUUUUGCGGAGGCCAUGAAGAAUGCGGCGCCUGAGAGCGUUCAGGACGGGGGCUCCUCACAUGGAAACUUCCAUACUCUUGCAGACGGCAUGAAGGCAUGA